UCUCUCUCUCUCUCUCUCUCCUACACGUGUUUGGUCUCUUCGCUCAGUCACGUGACGGUACCACAACAAAACACAGCAGAUCAGGAGCAGUAAUGUGAGCAUGUAAGAUGUGAGAGGAGCGAGUCUGUACACACGUUUUCUACUUUCUUACGAAACAGGAGAAACGUACUAAAUGUAGCUGAAGUAUCGAUACUAUCGAUAUUUGGAUCGAUCCACCCACCCCUACUAAUAAGGUUAGAACAGCCGUGUGUUUCAAUAGCUACCCAGGUAAAAGUGUGGAGGCAAGAUCAUCUUUCUCUAACAAAGAUAGAAGAAUGGUUAAUGCAAGCAUUCAGUGUGGAAAGCAGUCCUUGACCUCCACCGCCUGUUCAAAUCAACAAAGAAAGUCUGCUCGAAGCUGUCAUGAGCAAACUAGUGAAACUGGAGAGUAUUCAAGAAAAUGACUGUUUCCUCAAUGAUGUUUCAUCAAGCCAAGCAGUCAUGUGGCCUCACACCCAGCAAGACCAAGUGAUCACGAUCAGUGUUUAUCCAUGCAUGACGAGGAGAAAAGCAAGGAAUUUCUUCAAGCGACUAUUACUUAUGAACUGAAUUAUUAAGCUGUCAAGAAGAAGGACAAUGGCUUACAUCCCAACCAUACACUGAUGGGGUGCUUUUGUGCGUCAAUUCAGAAAGAACAGUGUGAUCACCAAAAACCUUUUUCUCAUUACAUUUAAAGAAACAGAAUAGAAGUGACCAUUAUUUGCAAUGGCAUGGCAUGCUUUCACACUCCAGAUGGGUCAAUGAAUGAUUUUUUUGUCCUGCCUCAGAAUUUUACAAUCAAUGCAGCAAAUAGCAAUGAUCAUCUACAAAAUAAAGGUACAGAACAGUAAAAAUCAUACCAAUAUUUGCCUACACACAAUAUGGCCAAAAUAUGUGGACAUCCCAUCCCAUAGCUGUGGCCAUAAGACCUGAAUUGAAUUAUUUAAGGUGUCCACAUACUUUUGGCUAUAUAGCUGCGGCUGUAUCUGUGGAAAACAAUGCAGUUAAGACAAACAAUUUGAUUUUCAUCAGCAUGUAAAAGCAUGAGUACAUUUAGCUUUUCAUUUUAAAUACAGAUGUUUCUGGGAAAUACCCACCUAACUGCUGUUUCUAUGACCACCAUAAAUGUAAAGUUCUGACCAUGCUGAGUGGCUAAUGUAAAAUGUUUACAUAAUCAGAAUUAGCUCAGAAUUAAGAAAACCCGUUCCUAACGGGUUGUGUUACAUGGGCUGGGUAUUUACACACAGAGUCUACGUUAUUAUAUACUCAAAUUGUGUUGAAAAAUGUUCUGUCUGUAAACAUGCAGAAGAUCUUAUCAUGUUUUAUCUGUAUAAACCCAUUGAAGUUAAGCUUCGAUGAAUGAAUAAUAUGUAAAAGUUUUAUCACCUGUUAUUGUUAAAUCUUGUCAGAGCAGUUUUUGUUUGUUAAUUUAUUUUUGGGGACCCAAUUUGGAUAUUGUUAAUUUCCUUGUGCAUUCUGGUGACCUUUGCCUGCCACAGAGGCCGGUGGUUAAUAUUUAUGAUGAAAUGACAAGUGUUCCACUGAAAAACAGAGGACAGGGAGCCAGUUCAUCCCAGUUCUAAUGUCUGUGUAGAUGACUGGAUGGCCAAUGGCACAGCUGAGACAGCUGCAUCACAUGAGCACUAGAACCACCGGUGUAACAGCUAACCAUUGACUAAGUGACAUACACAGGCCUGUCAAUAUAUAAAAAAAGCAAAUGUUCAUGUAUUUUAAAAAUAAAGAAGGAGACUGGACUUUUUUUUUGUGGACUCUUGUGAUCUAUGUUACCAUCUCCACCAGGUGGAGCUGACAAUAUAAUCUCAACUUUUUUAAAGCUUAGUUGCACCACAAACUUGCUCAAUACAUUCCAUGAUUUUAUUUUGUCUUCAGUGGCGUUGACCUCAGCCCCACUUUCCACCUUCAGGAUGAAUUGGAGCACUGAUUGCGAGCCAGGCCUUUUUGACCAAAAACAAUGCCUGACAUUGCAACUACUCUAUUAAUUAAAUUGGCAUGGAUUCUCACACACACCCCAAAAUCUUGUCUGAAAGCACCUUUUAUGUGCACCGUGUUUAUUGUGUUGUUUUGCACUUCUGUGUUGCACCCUGGUCCUGGAGGAAUGUUGUUUCGUUUCAGUAUAUUCUUGUAUAUGACAAUAAAGCCUCUUGAACUUGAACCUUAAA
Long non-coding RNA from Trichomycterus rosablanca, 2198 nucleotides. RefSeq lists it as uncharacterized. The transcript has 3 exons. NCBI's taxonomy places the organism in Eukaryota, Metazoa, Chordata, Actinopteri, Siluriformes, Trichomycteridae. The record is from RefSeq and is a predicted model, not a curated record.